RNAcentral lists this transfer RNA (77 nucleotides) under Bacteroidota bacterium. RNAcentral's name for it is "Bacteroidetes bacterium (marine metagenome) tRNA-Ile". It matches the Rfam family "tRNA". From Rfam's summary of the family: Transfer RNA (tRNA) molecules are approximately 80 nucleotides in length. Their secondary structure includes four short double-helical elements and three loops (D, anti-codon, and T loops). The record is from RNAcentral. Lineage: Bacteria; Pseudomonadati; Bacteroidota.
UGGCCCGUAGCUCAAUUGGUUAGAGCAGCGAACUCAUAAUUCGUUGGUUUAGGGUUCGAGUCCCUACGGGCCAACCA